AUGGAAGCUGCUUCACGAACGGAAGAACAAAAAGACACUACGUUAGCAGAUGCUACAAAGUCUGUGUAUGGUGACUCCAGCUCAAGCUCAAGGUCUUCUUCGGCUAGCCUAGCCGCAGCUAAAGCAAGGGCUAAAGUAUUAGCUGCACGUGCCCGUACCACGUUUGUUCAAAAAGAAAAUGAUCUACUAAUAGAAAAAGCUCGCAUGGACGCUAGUCUUGCUACCCUAAAGCUAGACAAAGAGAUUGCAUCAGCAGAAGCAGAAGCCGAAGCUCUUGAGUCAACUGCAGCAGAAUUGGAGAGAGGCUCCAGAACUAUAAUUUCUCUUCCAACUCAAUCUCCACGUGAAAGAACGUUUAACUACGUUGAGUGUCAUUCAAAUGCAGCCUCUGAGUCUACACCUACUGACCCAACACGUCAGCCUCAACAACGUAACCCUGCUAACGUUAAUAGCACAAGGCAAUACAAUCAAGACUCCUUCGAUAGAGACCUCAACAGAUCUAGGCAACCUGCCUUAACCAACCAGGCACCAAGCCCUGCUCCUGAUGAAAAACCUCACAUCCCCUACCCAAUGGGGACACAUCAGCCACUCUCGUCCACUCACCCCAGACAGGCUCCUCAUACUCACUAUGGUGACCAUACGGGGUUCGGUGAGGUAGCUCAAUUCCUUGUUCGGCGCGAACUAUUGAGCUCCAGCCUUACCAAAUUCGAUGAUCAACCUGAGAGCUACUGGGCAUGGAGGUCGAGCUUCCUAAACUCCAUUAGAGGAAUUGAUCUCACCUGCAGCGAAGAGCUCGAUCUACUCACUAAAUGGUUAGGCCCGCAGUCUUCAGCGCACAUCAAGAGGAUAAGAGCUGUCCACGUCAACGACUCAACUCAAGGCCUGAAAAUGGCAUGGUCUCGUCUUCAGGAGUGUUACGGCUCACCAGAGAUGAUCGAAAAGGCUCUCUUUGACAGAGUGGAGAAGUGUCCCAAAAUCAACAGCAGGGAUUAUCCUAAACUAAGAGAGAUUGGAGACCUGCUACAGGAGCUAGCAUCGGCUAAGCGCGAGGGCUACUUACCUGGACUUGCUUGCUUGGACACAGCUAGAGGUCUGAACCCCAUAGUGGAAAAAUUACCAUGGAACCUCCAAGAAAAGUGGAUUUCUAAGGGGAGUAACUACAAGUUAGCGCACAACGUGCCCUUCCCACCUUUCACCUACUUUGCUGACUUUGUCUCCAGAGAGGCUCUCAUCCUCAACGACCCAAGCUUCUCUUUUGCCAGUUCAGCUACUACAACAACUAAGCCAGACGCUGCAGAUAAGAAGACAAGAAACUUCGUAUCCGCCCAUAUAACGGAUGUCUCUCCGGUUUCCGACUCCGACACAAGAGAGACUUCCAGUGCUAGGCCUGAUGUCAAUAAACAGUGCCCCAUCCACCAAAAGCCUCACCCCCUCAAACAUUGUAGAGGCUUUCGAUCCAAACAUAUCGAAGAACGCAAGGCAUUUCUCAAAGAAGCUGGUAUAUGUUUUCGAUGUUGUUCUUCAAACAAACACGUUGCCAAAGAUUGCAAAACAGAAGUGCACUGUAAGGAGUGCAACAGUGACAGGCAUAUAUCGGCUCUUCACGCUGGGCCAGUUCCUUGGGCUAACCAGUCCCCUCAGGCAGAGAACGGCGGGGAGUCGGAACCUCCUCCUACAGUGAACUCCAUGUGCACCGAGAUCUGUGGAGGAAACAACGGACCUAGCUCCUGCUCUAAAAUUUGCCUCAUCACAGUGCAUCCUAAGGGAGAACCAAACAGGUCAGUGAGACUCUACGCCAUUCUUGAUGACCAGAGCAACCGGUCACUCGCCAGGCCAGAGUUCUUCAACCUCUUUAACCUUGAAAGCUCAGAAGCUCCCUACACAUUACGUACGUGUGCCGGUCUCACUGAAAUGUCAGGUAGGAGAGGCAGAGGCUUUGUCGCACAACCUUUGGAUGGAAAUCUCAGUAUAGAUCUUCCGACACUCAUUGAAUGCAACUACAUUCCUGAAGACAGGUCCGAGAUACCUACUCCAGAAGUAGCAAAAUAUCACACACUCGCCUCAAUUCCAUUGUUGAGCACAUUCCUCCGCUUGACCCAGAGGCUCAGAUCCUUCUUCUCCUUGGGCGUGAUGUCCUACAGGCUCACAAGGUACGAGACCAGCGCAACGGACCUAAUAGCGCACCAUAUGCCCAACGCUUGGAUCUUGGUUGGGUUAUCAUCGGUGAGGUCUGCCUAG
Molecule: long non-coding RNA, 2238 nt
Organism: Gadus morhua (Atlantic cod)
Lineage: Eukaryota; Metazoa; Chordata; Actinopteri; Gadiformes; Gadidae
Source: Ensembl